RNAcentral lists this ribosomal RNA (439 nucleotides) under uncultured bacterium. Its description in RNAcentral is "partial 16S ribosomal RNA". It matches the Rfam family "Bacterial small subunit ribosomal RNA", at positions 339 to 795 of the family's 1533-position model. The record is from RNAcentral.
CUACGGGACGCACCAGUGGGGAAUAUUGGACAAUGGGGGGAACCCUGAUGCAGCAACGCCGCGUGGAGGAUGACGCAUUUCGGUGUGUAAACUCCUUUUAUAUGUCAAGAAAAUGACGGUAGCAUAUGAAUAAGCACCGGCUAACUCCGUGCCAGCAGCCGCGGUAAUACGGAGGGUGCAAGCGUUACUCGGAAUCACUGGGCGUAAAGGACGCGUAGGCGGGUUGGAAAGUCAGGUGUGAAAUCCUACAGCUUAACUGUAGAACUGCACUUGAAACUUCUAAUCUAGAGUAUGGGAGGGGGAGAUGGAAUUAGUGGUGUAGGGGUGAAAUCCGUAAAUAUCACUAGGAAUACCUAAAGCGAAGGCGAUCUCCUGGAACAUUACUGACGCUAAGGCGUGAAAGCGUGGGGAGCAAACAGGAUUAGAUACCCGCGUAGUC